This 21429-nucleotide long non-coding RNA is filed under the name Phoenix dactylifera (date palm). RNAcentral's name for it is "long non-coding RNA (PDAC_LNC002011)". The record is from RNAcentral. Lineage: Eukaryota; Viridiplantae; Streptophyta; Magnoliopsida; Arecales; Arecaceae.
UGUUUGAGGGUGAUUCGGCCCUUGAAAACCCGCAGGUAGCGCGCGAAGUAAUUCGGCUCGCACUGCUCCCGGCUGACCGGGCCACGAUGCAGUCCAUGAGCUAUAACGCUUUCAUGGACGCCACUCGCUGUAACAUCAUCCGGGUAAGUAAAAUUUUCCCCCUACAAGAAUCGUUAUUAUAUUUCUUUUUUGUGGCGCCUUACAUCUCUCUUUCACAGCACGUGCACGAGAAGGAGAUGUUGAUGCACCUGGUCCACGAAUACCGGGGGGAGGCCCGGAGGCGCGAGCGCAGUUCCGAGGAGGCCCAGAAAAGGUACAUGGCUGCCGAGGUGAAGUACCUGGCCUCCGAGGAGAAAUACCAGGCCUCCGAGGCCGAACAACGGGUGCUCCAAGAGAAGGUCGGAGCAUCCGAUGAAAGAAUUUGAGCUCUGACCGCCGAGCUCGAUGAAGAGAAGGGCGCGCAUGCGUUGGCACGGUCCGAGCUGCGCGCCGUAGAGGCUCGGCUAGUCAAGGCCGAGGAAGCACUGGCUGCCCAUGGGCAGGAAUUGGAGGGCGCCCGCGGCCGCCACCUAGAGCUCGAGCGGGAGCUUAGGGACCUCGAGCGGAAGGCCUCUUACCACGAGGUCCGGGAGAUAGAGGCCCGGGAGAGCGCCCAGAACGCAGUGCAGCUCUUCCGCGAGUCGGAGGAGUUUCGCGACCUCUUAGCAGAGGAGGGCGUGAACGGGUUAAUCCAAGGCUUUCNNNNNNNNNNNNNNNNNNNNNNNNNNNNNNNNNNNNNNNNNNNNNNNNNNNNNNNNNNNNNNNNNNNNNNNNNNNNNNNNNNNNNNNNNNNNNNNNNNNNNNNNNNNNNNNNNNNNNNNNNNNNNNNNNNNNNNNNNNNNNNNNNNNNNNNNNNNNNNNNNNNNNNNNNNNNNNNNNNNNNNNNNNNNNNNNNNNNNNNNNNNNNNNNNNNNNNNNNNNNNNNNNNNNNNNNNNNNNNNNNNNNNNNNNNNNNNNNNNNNNNNNNNNNNNNNNNNNNNNNNNNNNNNNNNNNNNNNNNNNNNNNNNNNNNNNNNNNNNNNNNNNNNNNNNNNNNNNNNNNNNNNNNNNNNNNNNNNNNNNNNNNNNNNNNNNNNNNNNNNNNNNNNNNNNNNNNNNNNNNNNNNNNNNNNNNNNNNNNNNNNNNNNNNNNNNNNNNNNNNNNNNNNNNNNNNNNNNNNNNNNNNNNNNNNNNNNNNNNNNNNNNNNNNNNNNNNNNNNNNNNNNNNNNNNNNNNNNNNNNNNNNNNNNNNNNNNNNNNNNNNNNNNNNNNNNNNNNNNNNNNNNNNNNNNNNNNNNNNNNNNNNNNNNNNNNNNNNNNNNNNNNNNNNNNNNNNNNNNNNNNNNNCUGAAAUAUUGACUGGCUCUUAUCUUGUCAAUGUUCUCAUAAACUCUUGAGACUAGGUCACAUGACAUCUUUUCUUCUUCCAAUAAACUCACCUUAUAACUGGUUAAACAAUACUCUAAAGCUUUCUUGCAGAUCGACACCUAGAACUCCUAGCAUCCCAUUCUUCUUAACCUCUUUUUUCUUUCUUUUCUUUUUUUUCACUGAGAAAUUCGUUCUUGUUAACCUCAUUCCAAAAGGAACCUGCAACUAUUCGAAGAACUGCAUUUCAUGCAUGCACAUUCAGAUGGUAUAGGUCCAACCAGUUAUACCGAAUUAGGACGAUUUUUCGGGAAAAUGGCCAACCAUAAUGACCUGGGUGAGCUCUCUCCGAGCCGAGUCCACGACUUGGCAAGCUCGGCAUUUAAUGCGAUUAAGGUGUUGUCAGUUUUUCAGCUCCCAAGGUGCCAGGUCUCCCCACUUCCAUGGGUUCGCCCUGUCCUUCUCUCAUCGAGCUAACUACUGCUUUGUUGGGGCGGACUGUUCUAAAUUUCAAAUCUCCUUUCUUGGCCACCUACUCUAAUGUUUCUUGCAGACCCUUAAAAAAAAAUAAUGAGACAUCUCAAUUUUAGGUCAGACUAAUUUUUCUGGCCUCGAACAUAAAGCAAAAUAAAUAAUUUCGACUCCAACCGAGAAGUGCCAGCCGAAAAGAACCAUCAGCAUGCAUAGACAAAGGCUAACGGCCUUAACAAUCGACAACCCUCGCAGUCCGUAGUCAAUGCAGCCCUACAUCAACGUCAGACCUAUGUUGCGCUCUUCCCAUGCAGACUGACCCCCGCACAGUAGUCGUACCACCGGCUGCUGCCUAGCAUCAUUUCACAUCACGUCUCAAUCUCGUCCCAACCGCCCGUGUCGAAUGAGUGCCUCAGCUCCGAAAACACUCUUCGGUGUCGUGGUCAUGGUCUUGGUGGAAGCAGCAGUAGAUCUUCUUAUCCCUGUUGAAUGUCAUUGCCUUCAUCCGACAAGGAGAGUGUAGGUAGCCUUGGCCUUCAAUUUAUAUGAGGAUCUGGGUUCUCAAAGCAGUAAGAGCGGUGUACCUCUCAAACUUUCUAGGAGGGGGCUCUUGGGUCGUCGCGAGCCCCUCUCACGCCGAGGUGAGAUAUUUCUCGGCUCUCUUUACUUUUCGUGUCCCCUCUUGCUUCCUUGGGGGGUCUCCUGUUGGCAGACACGCUGCAGGAGGCCAUGGCUUUCUCAACAUGGGCAUACUUGUCAACCUGUGCCAACAUUUCAAUAAAGUCGUCGGAAAAGUGCCUUUUUAGGAAGAAGAGGAAGCUCGACGGCUAUAGGCCGCUCUUCAUCGCAGACAUCAUAACCGACUGGUCCAUGUUGUGGACCUCCAAUGUAGCCACGUUAAAACAGAUGACAUAUUCUCUGAGAAAUUUUCUCUCCCUCUGCUUGAUGUCGAGCAGCGCGUCUGAGCCACGGUGUUGUCUUCGGCUGGAGACGAAGUAUGCCGCGAAGAGGCAAGCGAGUUGCCCAAAGGAUUGGAUGUAUUUGGGCCGAAGCUUGGAGAUAGAGCUGAUCACGGGCCUUCUGGCCCGCCCAGCCCGGCUCGAAAUUUUUUGGGCUUGGGCAUUAAAAAAAGGCCCAUGGGUCGGGCCUGGGCAAGAAAAGCGGCCCGAGCAAAAAAAUCGGGUCGGGCCUGGGCGGGCCAUUUUGGCCCAUUUCCAUAUUCCAAACAAAGAAAAAAUCGGGCCUGUCGGGUCGGGCCUAUCGGGUCGGGCCAGGCUAGACGGGCCUAGAAUCAGAUUUAUAAAGUCGGAUCGGGCCUGGACAAAAAUUUAAGCCCGACAGUCGGGCUGGGCCGGGCCUGGGCAUAGCCAUCGGGCCUAAUUUCUGCUGUAGAGCCCGGCCCGAGCCUGGCUCGGCCCGGGUUUUGAUCAGCUCUACUUGGAAAACUAGAACUGAGCCACUUUGCGAAGGGUCGCAAGGAACGCCUUGCAAAGUACGACAUCAGUGGCUCCAUGCUGCAUUAUGAGAGCCUUGAAGCUAUCAAGGUGAUCUAAAGGACUGAGGUGUCGUCGUACGGCUCCACUUACGGUAUUUUGAAUCGAGGUGGAAAAAGGGAGGCUCCAAGGAAAAGUUGAGUGGUUGCUCACCCUCGAAGCUUAUCCUUUAAGGGCCUAAAUCUGUCGACCCAUUUUCUUGAUUCUCCUAUCAAGGUUGGCUUCCCACUAUAGUGGGGGCUCCACAAGAUGAACAGGCUAAAGGCUCCAGACGGAAUCGCCGCCAAACUGAUAACUUGAAACGCAUUGUUUCCUCUUUCGGUCGGGGGCACUCCUCUGGGUAUGUCGACUCUGACACAAUGGUUCAGGGUCUUGGUCUUAAGAGGAGUAGCUGACCAGGUGCAUAUGGUGUGCCAAUUGCUCAGAGCGGGGGCUAGGCUGGCCGAAUUCUGGUAGGUCCAGCUCCGGUUGCCCCACUGCCUGUUGCAGGCUCUAGACCGCUACGGUCAACGCCUGUACCUAUUGAGUGAGCAGGUCGAACUGCUCCUUAUCCACAAGCACGGCGGGUCAUUCCGACGGAGCGGGUUCGGGGCUCUCAACAACCCUCAGGAGGUUGGAGCGCGACAUUGCGUAGCACGCGAUGUGCCAUGGGUUCCUUGCGACCUCAUGCCGAUUGUCUCUCCCUUCGAUUAGGGUUGAUGUAGCUGAGGAUGGGCCAUUUCUCUAGCGCCAAUCUGUUCCCAUAAAAUUCAAACCAAGAUAGAAGUACAGUUCGGACAACUUUGAGGUCAGCGAAAGGUGAGCUGUGCAACUCGUUGAGGCAUUGGGUGCCAGUCUCCUCCGUAGGGAGGCAUGCAAAGAAGUUUGCUUGCCGAAGAAUUUUCGGUGGGAGACCCCCCGAUGCUUGAGUCAGAACAACGAGACAACAAUAUAAAAAUGAGAGACUUAGCAGAGUAUCGCCUCCCUAAAUAGUAUUGCAUGUUGCGUACCUCAAGUCUCCCGAGCUACCCCUUUAAAUAGAGGAGCUAGUUUUAUUGUUACUUGGGCUGACGUGACAUGCAAUGAUGCCAAAUAGUAGUCGGUGGUACAACCGCAAUGUAGGGAUCAGUCUGUGUGAGCAGAGCGCGGCGUAAGUUUGAUGCUGGACAUGGGGCUGCCAUGAUUAUAGAUUGCCAAGGCUGUCGAUUGUUUGGGUCGUCAUCCCUUGUCGAUGUGUGCUAAUGGAUCUGCUCGGCUGGCGACUCCUUAGUUGGAGAUGAAGUCGUUCACCUCAGUUCAUGUCUGAAGUCAGAGGGGUCGAUCUGGCCCGAGGUCGAGGUGUCCAAUAUUUCUUCCAUCUAGAUGCAACCCCCGAAGACCGUCAAAGAAGUCCAGUGCCUGACUGAACAGAUCACCGCACUUAUAAAAUUCGUUUCCAAAUCUGUGGAACGCUACCUCCCCUACUUCAACGCCCUGAAGCACCCGAAAGACUUCCAAUGGAUCAAGGAGUAUCAAGAGGCCUUCGAUUAACUAAAGGAGUACCUUAGCUUAUCGGCCCUUCUCAUUAAACCGUAGGCCAAAGAAACACUACCUAUACCAGGCCAUUUCUCCCACCAUUGUGAGUUCGGUUUUAGUCUGAGAGGAGUAGGGAUGCCAGAAAUCGAUCGACUACACAAGUCAGAAUUUGCGGGAUGCCAAGACUAGAUAAUCCAAACUAGAGAAAACGGUCUACGCCCUUAUCAUUUCAGCUCGGAAGAUCUAAGUAUACUUCCAAGCCCUUCAAUCAACGUCUUGGCUGACCAACCGAUGAGAUAGGUUCUCUAGAAGCCUGAAAAUGGAGGACAGCUAGCAAACUAGGUGGUGGAGCUCAGAAAAUUUGACAUGGAAUAUCGACCUCAGUCAUCUAUCAAGGUGCAAGUGUUGAUAGACUUCCUAGUGGAGUGCACUAUCCCUAAUUAGGAUCAUGCCAAGCUCCCUAAAAAGAUGAAUGUCGUAGUGAAACCGUGGAUUCUACACAUGGACGGGUCAUCAAGCUUGGGGGGCAGUGAUGUUCAGCUCAUGCUUACCAGCCUGAAAGGAUUAAUCACCGAGUACACCCUAUGAUUCGAGUCCUUGUUUUAAAUAAUGAGUGCGAAUAUAAAACACUCAUCACCAGGCUCAAACUCUCCAAGGAGCUUAGGGUCCAAUAACUCAAGGUCUUUAGCGAUUCACAAUUGGUGGUCGGCCAAAUACAAGAAGAAUUCGAGGCUUAGGGGCCCUCAAUGAUCAAGCAUCUAUAAAAUGUAAAUGACAUCACCUCAGUCUUUUGUAAUUUUGACAUACAACAGAUUCUUCGGAUGGAAAAUGCGAGAGCCGACCUGCUGUUAAAGUUGGGCACCUCAGAGAUUGUCGAGCUAACCAAAGCCACCUACCUUGAAGUCCUAGAGGCACCAAGUAUCAACGAACUCGAGAUUGUGCUUAAUACCACUAUCAAACCAAGCUGGAUUGAUCCACUUGCCGGCUUCUUGAAAGACAAAAUGGUACCAACGGACCAGCUUGAAGCCCACAAGAUAAAGCGACAGACCACCCAUUAUGUCCUCCUCAAUGACGUCCAACGGUGACAAGCAAUGCCAUUGACACCGAUCCAUGCCCCUUGCCUAUUCGUGCAGUAGGGGAUUAACAUCUCGAAAUGUUCCUAGUGUAGCCGGGCAGCACAAGUUUUUUUUUGUAGCCAUGGACCACUUCACCAAGUGGGCAAAAGCCGAGCCAGUUGCUCGAAUUACUGAGGCAAAAGCUCAGAAAUUCGUCUGGCAGAACAUAAUCUGCAAGUUCGGGCUUCCUCGAAUAAUCAUCACCGGUAACGGGCGUCAAUUCGACAAUGCCUAGUUCAGAGAGUUUUGCACCAAGCAAGGAAUCAAUCACUAAUUCACUUAGGUAGCCCACCCCCGAUCCUACAAGGAGGCUGAAGUGACCAAUCGGACGAUCUUGCAAGGGCUGAAAGCAAGACUGGAUCAGGCAAAAGGGCUGUGGACUGAAGAGCUCCACAGUGUCCUAUGGGCAUAACAGACUACAUCUCGAGUCCCUCUAGGAAAACACCCUACAACCUUGCCUUAGGAAUAGAAGCAGUGAUCCCACUAGAGAUCGGACUUCCGUCACUUCGAGUGUUCAACAAUCAAAAAAAUUUGGACCAACUCUGAGCCAACCUCGACCUAUAAGAACAAACCCGAGAGCGAGCUUGGAUCCACAUAGCGGCGUACCAGUGAAGAACAACUCGGUACUAUAACUCAAGGGUCAAAAGCAAGCUCUUCCAAGAAGCAUCCUGACUAGGAGAACUUAGAAAGCUGAGCCCAAAUUGGGAAGGCCCAUACUGAGUAACCGAAGUUGUGCGACUGAGAGCAUAUCGACUGCAAUAGCUCGACGUCACUUCUAUUCCACAAACAUGGAACUCCGACAACCUACGCGUCUAUUGUCAGUAAAGUCCAUUGUACUCCAGGCUCGUCUCUAAUAAAAGAUUCUCUUGUUAUAUUUUUGUCUCCAGAUUGGACAAUCAUGACAAGCAUGCUCUGCUUGGGACACCUCGAGGAUGCCUAGGCCCCAAUAAAGGAGACUCUCCAAGGAUGCCUAGGGCCUCCUUAAACCGAGAUCGCUCGGGAUUCCUCUGAGACCCCAGUCCGGAGAUGAGAAGACCAAGCCCACUCGGAUUUUCUCUAGGUAGCCAACCUCAGAGAUACCUCCGGAAGCAUCCUCCGGAGAUGAGAAGAUCGAGCCCACUUGAAUUUUCUCUAGUAGUCAACCCCAGAGAUGCCUCUAGAAGCAUACUCUAGAGAUGAGAAGAUCUAGCCCACUCAAAUUUUCUCUAGGUAGCCAACCCCAGAGAUGCCUCCAGAAGCAUACUCCGGAGAUAAGAAAAUUGAACCCAUUCAAAUUUUCUUUAGAUAGCCAACCCCAAAGAUGCCUCCAGGAGCAUACUCCAGAGAUGAAAGGAGGCAUCGACCUCGUCAAGAUCAGGCCCACUCGAAACUCCUCGAGAACCGGACUUUAGGAAAAUUAGCCGAGGAGAAGGGUUCGGCGAGAUGACCUAAACUCGAAUAAAGAUAAAAAUGACAAGUAAAAAUCAAAGCCAGGUACUUCAAAAAAUUCUUUAUUUAUAUUAUCAUCUGGUACGAAUAUUAAUGUCGACAGAAACCAAGCAAAAAGAGCUACAGUGAAAGGUCGAGGCUUGGCACAAUCUCAAACAAAGAGCAAACAACAACACGAUGCAAACCAAGACCGGAGUCAUAUACUUCGAAAAAUCUUUGUUUUCGAUAAAGUUGUGAAUUUUUACGCUGACCUCAGCAGAGGCCAAAUAAAAAGAAGAGUACAUUGAGCCGGCUCACCCAAGCAAAAGAAAGAGCAAAAAUGCUGAGGUAAAGGGCUUCGUUCGUCGCCUUCACCGCCCCCACCGCUACCGAGGUACCCAAUUUCCUUCGGUUGAAAACAUGUAGAUCUUCAUGAAGAUCCUUGCCUACAAGGUCGUCGCCCGAGGGGUCGGAUCCUCACACGUGAUCUGCGAGGUCAAGACCAAGAUCUAGGAUAAGAAGCGCAUCCCCCUGGAUCAGCUCCUUCGCCUCUCCCCUUCGACACCUUCACCGUUGCUGCCACCAACCUUGCCAUCUUCGAAGACUUCGGGGUCGUCGCCUUCAUCACCAUCUUCAUAGCCCUCGUUGUCAUCAUCGUCGUCAUCAAGACUGAAGAAGUCCAUCCUUGGAAAGAGCUGUUGUGUCCGAGCUUGGCAUUCUGUGAAGCCCUUCCCAAAGGUGUCGAUUGCAGUCUCCAAGGCAUCCUCUUUGAACUCCUCGAAAUCGCAGUAUUCUUUGACCACCUCCGCAACCUUCGCCUUAGCAUGAAUGACUUCGUUCAUGGCUUCGGCGGCCUUUCGCUCGACCUAGACCAACUUCUCGGCAAGCUCUAAGACCUUCUACUCAAAAGUACAAUAGGCCUCCCUGUCCGAGGACCAUUGCCCCUCAAUGAUCAUUGUCUGGGUCUGCAUGGCUAAGGCAUGUAAUUCCGCCGAUCCGAGUUUAUCUUCAGCUAUCUUCGCCCUCAGCUCGGCCUGCCAAGCCCUCGCCAAGCUGCUGGAAAUUGUAUCCUAAGUGUCAAUCGUCAGCAUGUUGAUGAUUGAAUUUUGUAAAUGAAUUGACAAAUUAAUAAAGUGUUAUUUGGCAUUAUUUAUCAUUUCAUUGUACAUCUUCAAAUGAACUCUUAUAUGAUGAAGUCCUUAGGACUUAUUUUAUGAUAAAGAAGGAUUUAUCUUCAAGUCCUUAAACCUGUUCGCGACCAAAUGAUAUGCUAUUAAUAGGACGACAGCAUUGUCGAGAUUAGGUCGUUGUAAGAUAUAUACGUUGGUUGUCUUCUUAACCAAGAAGUGUGGAGAUACUGAUAUGUCACACAGAUGAAGUAUAGGAGUAUAUUUCACUGAACGUGACCAAUUUCGAAACGCUCUACUGUCAAGAGAUGUUCCGAGUGGAUAUGGGUAUAAGUAUCCCUCAGACCUGAGAUCACCAUAGUGAUUAGCAAGCAACUCACUGUACUUUGGUACCGGACUAGCAGAAUUUCUAAUUCUGGGACGGAAGGUUACUAGGUGCAGUCAAGUACUUAUGAAAUAGGUGUGUGAGUCAAGAUAGAAUUGACCCCUCAUGAAAACAGGAGAUAAUGCUUUGUGUUUAAUUUAGCAAAAUCUUGGCCAGGAUAAUCCUUGUGAGGAGUCACAGGAUUUCUAAAGUUGAAUCACAUCAUGAAUGCACCGAUUACAGAGUUGACAGAACUCUGAGGUCAUCUUGGCAUUAGGAGUCAAAUGGAUGAAUUAUACAGUAACCAUAGUCCAGAAUUCUAGAAUAUUUGCUUCGCAUAUAUUCGGCCUAUCCGGAUGUUGGGUACCAUUGCUAGAUGGUCACAUCGAUUAGUUCAGAAAAUCAUUUUCGUACUACCAGCUUAGGUUCGAACCUAUGAGGUCACAUGCAUAGAAGUUUUCUAAUUGAUCAAGAUAGCUGAUGGAUGGUUGAGAAUCAUUCAGGGAUAAUUUGGUCAAUUCGAUUGGCAAAUUAUUCUAUAAAAUAAUUAAAGUAAUUAUUGAAGGAUUAAUUAGUAAUUAGAUUACUAAUAAACUCAAUUUGAUUGAAUAAUUGGACUAAGGAUAAGCCAAAUUGAAUUGGAUUUAAUUCUGGGCUCAAUCAGGAUUUUUGACCUAUUUGGAUUAGGUCUGAAUUAAAAGGACUUAAGUUGACCAAAUUGAAUUAGAUUCAAUUUGUGCUUAAUUAGGGUUUGACCUAAUUGGAUUAGGUUCAACCCAAACUAAUUAGACUUCACUAAUUGUUAGGAUUUGAUCGAAUUAAAUAGGUUUGAUCUGAACUGUUCGGAUUUCGAAGUCCAUAUGUCACUUGUUCAAUCAUGGUGCCAUGAAUUAAAUUUUAAUAUGAUUAAAAAUUUAUUUAAAUUAUUUAUUGGCACCAUGUGACACGUGGCAACAUCAGGGACCAUCCAUUUGAUGGGGCGACAUGAAGAGAUCAUGAAAUAAAUUUGAAUGAUAUCAUGCAGCACAUCUUCAUGGCGCCAUGACACAUGUAUGUAUCUCUCUCUCCCAUUUGCAUUUGAGUUUGAAUUUUGAAUUCAAACUCCACCCACCUCCAAAAGAUCCUCUAACCAUCAGAUUGUGGGCGUGGGAGAUGGAAUGGAGUGAGGGAAUGGGCGACAUGAUGAAUGGCCUUGAUUAGAUCAAGCUUCAUCAUGAUGAUGGCGCAUGAAACAAGCAUUUGAAUUCAAAUUCAAAACCCCACAAAAUCCUUCCCAAAUAUGGGAUGGUUGGCGUGUGAAGAGGAGUGAAGUUAGAGGGGAUGGCAACAAUAAAAAGACCUCCAUCAGUUGGUGGUCGAAUUGAAGAAGCAAAAGAAAAAGGAAAGGAAAAAGGCCUAGUGCAUGGAAAGAAAAAAUCUGCCUACCCUCUUCCCUCUCGCCAUUAGAUCAUCUUCUAAGUUCAUAUUUCCAUAGCUAUUAGGGGUCCCUGAUAAGAGCCUUUAGAUCAGAUCUAAGUCCUCUUCAAUCCCUACUAACCAUUCCUCCAAGUUCUUCCAAGAAGGCGAAUCAAAAGUUGAUAGCGUCGGGAAGAUCAAAACUCAGCAAAGGAAGAUCCUGCGCAAGCUAGCACUUCCGCGAGAUUAGAUCACUCCAAGAGCUUCACGUGGAUUACUCGUAGAGGCCAGACGAGUGUGUGCCUAUGAAGCUCGAGCAUCGGAUCCAUUACUUUCAUAUUUCAUAAAGGUAUGAAUCUAGAUCCAAAGUUGUAUCUCUUACAGGUUCCAAUUUUCGAGGAUUAAACCACUUUUGGGGCUCUUCACAGAGUAAUCUUCAGAGCCUAUUCAAUGGGCAUUCGAAGAUUAGUUGGGUGUUAGAUUAAUUGAGUUUAGAACUUAAUUAGUAAUCUCAUUUCAGAUCUGAAAUUAAUUAUGCAAUAAUUUUAGCAUAAUAAUUUAAACGAUUCCGGCAUAUUGAUCAUGAAUACUUGUAGGGGUACUUUGAAAUUUGAUUUCUUAUACAUGCUAGAAUUAAAAUGUUUAAUUCGAUUUUUCCACUACGAAUUUCAAAAUUAAAAAAUCUAUAUAUGGCUUGAUCCCCCUUGUGAAGGGGUACGUAGGCAACCCAAAUAGGUACAACCAUUAAAAUUGAAAAAGUUUUAAAUUUCAGCAUGCUAUCACUACUAGCAUCAUAGGAUCACUUUCACAAGCAAUCUCCGCCCUCGCCUCAACCGGAUGGGUAUGCUCCUUGGGGAUCUCCACCCUCGCCUUGUACUCCAAGAUGUGCCACGAGAGCGUCUUGAUCCUCUCAUACACGCAGCUGACCUUAAGGGCAUGCUCAAGAAAAGAGGAACUCAUUUAGUGAGGAAAGUAACUUGGUAAAGAUUUAUGAAACUCAUCCGAAUAACCGUGGCAUAGGCCCCAUCAAAGAAAUCGGUGGCAUCGAGGGAGAAUACGAGCUCCCUGUUGUCUCCGAGCUGCAUGGCUUGGACCAGCUCCCUCGCCACUUUGGGAGUCUCUAGAGCCGAAACAGAUUCUUCAACUGCGCGAUCCGAAGAGUAGGUCCAAGACACAUGGGUCGGGGCUGAAGUGUCCUCCCCGUCCAGGGCGGACAACUUGGGGUCCGAUCGACCCAAUGCGCAGAUUUUAGGAGAUGGUUGGCGUGGGGGUAGAGUGUCAAAGUAGGGUCCAGCAAAUACAACCCCUUCCGGAGGGGCUAACCCAGCUGGUUGAGCGACCUCGACCUUGGAGUCGGGCUCUACAAUCUCCCCCUGAGGAAUAGGCACCUCAUAGAAAACUUCAGGAACCAAGGCCUUGACGCCGACCUCGACGGUAGCCUUGGUGGCACGAGCCGAGGAGGACUUCCCCCUCGACCUUUUCCUUCAAGGAGCCCGGUGGUCACAGCCGAAUUCUUCACCUUCCUCCUUUCGCGAAUCAGCGAGAAAUCAAACUUCAUGGCAACAAGAGCUGCAAAAUCAAAGACAAAGUUACUUCACAAUACCGAGGUGAAAAGAUAGGAAAACCCAGGAAAAACUUACCCUAGGGGUCGGCCGGGCUCAAACCGGCCUUAAUCAGAGCUUUCUCGGACAACAGCUCCUGCAGGAUGAAAACUUGGAUCGAGAUUCUAGAAGCCUGUCCAAGGCCCUCUGAUCAUCGUUGGACAACCUCGAGGAGGACCGAUUCAAGUAUCUCUGAGGUGCCCUCCCCAUGGUGUCAAACUUCUAUGGCUACUUGGAGUGGACGAAGAAGAACCUCCCUUUCCACCCAUGGAUAGAAGAGGGAGUACCUCAGAGCAAGUGGCAGUCUUUCUAAGGAGAAAAAUGUCAUCAAUUGCUAUUUUGAGGAUGCCUCUUUAGGGUGAAGCACCCUCAGAAAAGGGGGACCGAGGCUCAGAUGCUCCGAAGGAAACAAAGAGAGAGAAAACCGACUAAGACCUGCCAAAAGUUUCGUACGAGUUGGGUUGGAACAAAGUUGUAGGACCCCAUCAGUUGCAUAAAGAAGGGGUGGAGAAGAAGUCUUGGCCCAGCCUAUAGAGUCUCCUUAUACAAGCCAAGCUGAGAAGGAUGCGGGUUAGUCACCCGAUCAUCGGGACGGGCGAGCUCGAAGAUGAACUCGGGGGGCACAAAGUAUUGAGCUCGGAUGAGGUCCAUUUCCUCCUGAGUAAGGACGCAUACAUCAUAGUCUGGGCCCGGCCAGACCUCAAACUCAGCUUCACCCGAGGGUGAAGGCUGAUGACCUCGAGAAGAGCCAUUAGACGGACGACUCUCCCCCGAGGCAAUGGCCUCAGCCCCCCUUAUGGUGACAGGAGAAAGACGAAGGGAAAGACCUAGAAAAAGAUAAAGAAAGACGGAGUGAAGACAAAGAAGAAGACAAGAAAGGGCCGAACAUCAAAAAGCGAAAACCCACUAAAGAUGGAGAAACAUGGAAGACGCCGACAUCGGGAGCAAAACGGAACACCACCCAGAAUCCUGGAUGCUCGGGUACUCGAACGGAGGGGCAGAUGGAGCAAAAGGUAGAGUCUGAGGGUUAGGGAUGCCUUAUAGGCAUGAACGGCCCCAAUCGGAGCACCGGUCCGGCUACCCGAGUAGAUUGGGCCACAUGUCAGCCUAAGGUAUGACACGGGCGAUCCGAGUAGAUCGCUGCAUUAAUUGCUUCUUUGGAUAGCUCGGAUCCAACAACACUUCGAGAAGACCAGUUGGCGCACUAAAUGCCUCUGACAAAAAUCUCACCCUCAAUAGAAGCGACUGCUCGACUUUCAUCACCCAAAUAGGAAUGCAGUUUGGCCUUGAAAGUGGGAGGCAAAUGAUGGAGAAAAUAUUGGACUCCUCGACCUCGGGCCAGACCGACCUCCUGAUUUCGCACAUGAACCAAAGUGAACGACUUUGGCUCUAACUAAGAAGUCGCCAGUUGAGGAGAACCAUCAACAUGCGUCGACAAGGACAGACAGCCCUUGCAGUCCACAGUCAUAGCCGCCGCACAUCCCACGUCAGACCUACGCCGCGCUCAAUCCAUACGAACUGACCGUGUGCCGCAGUCGUACCACCAACCGCUGCCUAGCAUCAUUGCACAUCAUGUCGAUUUAGAUAACGACAAAACUGAUUCCCCUAUAUAAAGAGGGUAGCCAAAGGGACUUAAAGUACAGAAUAUGCAAUACUAUUCACAAAGGCAAUACUCUGCUAAAAUUUCUCCCUUCCAUACUGUUGUCUUAUUAUUCUGACUUAGGCAUCGAAUGAUCCCUACCAAAAAUUCUCUAGCAAACAAACUUCUUGCAGACCACCUAGCAAAAAAAACCAAUGCCCAAUGCCUUAACUAGCUUGUUCAGCUUGCCUCCAGCCGACUUUAGGAUCAUCCGAACUACACUCCCAUCUCAGUCUAGAUUCCGUGGCAACACCACCCAUAACUCCCAAAAUCCCACUCUUCUUAUUCUCAUUCCAAAAGGAACCUUCUUCAAAUAUUUGAAGGGAUGCAUUUUAAACAUGCAAGUUCAGGUGGUCCAAGUCAAGUCGGUUAUACCAAGCCUGGAGGAUGAUUUUUUCAGAAAAUGGCCAGCUAUAUAACAACCUUAUAUGAUAUGAGUGCCAAAAUUUUUCCAGUCCAGUAAGCAUGUCAGAAGCAAAAUAAUAUUCAAGGCGAUUUGUGUGCGAGUACACAAAGCAAGUUUCAUUUUUUUCCUACGAAUGCAACAAUAAUGCUUCACUAAUGUAAAGCACCGGCAUGAAAGCUGCAUUAUAGUCUUACAUGAAUGGCAGGAUCAUUUAGGAGUUGAUAGCAAACAAGAUCAUGUUGUUGCCUUUUCUCUCCUUUCACUUUUUCUUACAUGUCCUGCUGAAGAGCAUAGCAGAAGCAAACAAAAAUGACCACUAAGACAUGAAUGUACCAAGAUUGUCCAUGGCAUAUAUACCCAAGCAUCUGCCACUACAUGCUCUGCUUGCUUGCUGCAUAUACAGGACUUGAGUUCUUCAUAUGAAAAAAAAUCAGUUAUUUUCAAUAGCUUCAGCUCCUCCCAAGUCUCCCAUGUUGUUACAACCACAUCUGGGACAUACAUACCUCCUCUGUAACUCCCCCCCAGCUGAAGCAUAAGCCUUCUCCAGUUCAUUAGUCUGCUUGUUUCUAGUUAGAGAAAAUGUUUGUCCAAACAGUGUAGAAUGGCAUCUUAAUUAUCUUAAGGUGAGGUAAAAAUUAUUAAUAUCAAUUCACUAAGUUGUUCUUCAUGUAUUAAACAUAAAUAUUUGAGGGAUGAUAAGAGAAGUCUAGACAAAAACAAAGGAUAUCCUGCUAGCUCUUGCAGCAGUUUCAUUUCUCCCAAAAUAGCCUCCACAAGGAACCCUCUUCUUUUAACAUUGGGUAGCUCCUUGGAAACCUGCAAGUGAUACUCUCUAGAUAUAAAAUGGAUUAAUUCCCAACACAUCUUACAAGAAAUCAAAAUUUGCAACAGACGAUACAAGCAUAGACUAUUUCGAAAGUAGCUUGAAUUAAAAUUUGUUCCAUCUAAAAGAAAGGGUAUGGCUCAUGGAAUAGGAACAAGCAUCAAUGACUUGAAGCCAUUCUUCAGCCACAAAUAAACAGAAACUUGCACAGUUGAAGUUCACCAUAUACUUACGAGCUGUUUCUAAUCAUUUAUGUAGCAACACCACUGGCAGUAUUGAAUUCUGAAAUCUAGACCCCAAAAUUACACUAGUGUACAUGGAGAUCUACAUCAGAUAAUGUUGGCACAAAAUUUAGUAAUAACCUUCACCUGUUACAUAUUCUAAUUUGAUUGCAGAUAAGUAAACACCAUAGCAAGGUCAUGAUGAACAUGAGAAUGUCUAUUUAUAUAUCUUCAGAAGAGAGUCAUAAUACAACUUUCCCAGAAUCCUUUUGAUGCUUAAGACAAACUUACACAGGCAUCAUACCUAAUGAACUUACAAAUUAUAGACUAGAGUGAAGGUGACCGUUAUCAACAGAAUGUGUGGAAUACAAAAAGCCAUUGAAAGGAGUUCGAGCUUAACUGGAGAUUCAUCCAUUAUGAAACAGCUAAAGCUGGUUUUCCUUUUUACUGAAACAAAUACACAUCAGCAAUAUUACUUACAGGACCCAAAUGAUAAUGCAAAGGGCCUUCGACUCACUUACAAAGCAUCAGAACUUAAUCAUAAAUCAUGAGGACUACAGAAAAUUGACCUUUGACCAUGUAGUAUCUAGUAUCUCAUUCUUAAAGCAUGAUACCAGAAUUCGUGCCAAAAUGAGUGCAUAUAUAGUUAAAAGCUAACCUAAUAACCUAAUUUUUGAGUCCAUAUUGUUUUCUAGAUCAUAUAAUUGAUGCUGGAAGAUGGCUACAUUACUCAUUUUUUUUGAAACAAGAGCACUUUAGUGAAGAAAGAAGAGGAAAACAAUGACAGCUCAUGUAGACCAAGGACCAACGAUUAUCAAGAUUGUGAGGCAGCCUGUAGAUCCUGAACCAUCUUCUACACUGAACUGGUGUUUAAACAGUGUUAGAGCCUCCCAAAAUCAGGCCAGGCUAUAGUGGCCCAUACUUGACAAGUCAAUUGUUCGGGUUUUGGAUCAAAGUCUAUCUGUAUUAGGAUUGGGCUGAUGAGUCAACAAGCUUAAGUGGGCCAAGAGUUAAGUCCUACCAGGACUUUAGAGUAGGAGUCCUAUUAAGACCAUGGAUUUCCUUGAUGGGUACGGAAAGCAAACUAUAAACUCGUAGGGCUUGGUCUCCAGUAACUUGAAAGCAUAAAAGUUCCAUGAAUUUUCCCAUCGAGUUCCAUGCUUCUUGUCUCUGCUUGCAUAGUCUGGACUGGCUGAGUGCCUGCCUGCAGCAAAGAUCGUGGUGCAGUUAGGUUUUGUGAGAGCAUACUCAGUUGGCUUCAUGGGAACCAUGUUUUAUCAUUUUAUUAAAUAUAAUUUUUUAUAAUUAUUUUGCUUGAAUCUUUAUUCUUUUCUAACCAGGCCUUAAUCAAUACCAAGCCUUGAUUGGUGAUGGGAUCCCAUGGAUCCAACUUUAGUGGGAAGGUCGAAGAGAAAAAGAGAAAUCCUUGUUGGUUUCUUGAACCCCAAGUCAAAGUCAGCUGGAAGCCAAAAGAAUUUUUGACCCAGAAUUUAAAUCUAUUCCCUGAUAGCAGACUUUUAUUCAUUCAGAACCAUUGCUGUAACAGUUUUCAUAUUCAGGGAACCUGAAUGUUAUAUUCUAUUUUUCCAGAUUUAACUGUAACAGCUUUAUUUAUGUGUUGUUUUGGCUCUUUGGAUCCCUUUUCUUGGCCAAUUUUCUAUUCUAUUAUACUGGAUCAUAAAGAAACUUUUAAGAAAUUUUCUCACGUCAAAUUUGAGGGUAAUUUGAGGGUAAAGACAAGAAAAAGCAUCUUUACAUGAUGGCAUAUAGUUGAUUAUUGUACUCUUCCUUCCUUACGGUGACAAGCGAAGCAUCCCAUAUUAUUACGAUGUGGUAAAGUUUAAUCAAAUAAAGAGCCUAAUAAUUACCACAUUAUAUGUGACAUUAAAAUUGCACUAUGAAUUCGGAUGUAGUGGCCUGACCUCAAAGCCAUCACAUUUAAAAUUGAUAUAGUGUAUAAUUACUAACUUGGUUUUUGUCACCUGAAGGCCUCGAAAACUUCUUGAUUAUUAUGAUUUUAUUAAUAGCUUCAUCACGUGGAUAAGCAUGUUACUGCAUAGUAGCCUAUAAUUUAGAAAAAGUGUUACAUUGGUUAGUAAUUUGGAUUUGGUUUGCAUGCCCUAUAGCGUGCAAACCAAGAAGGAAUUUGGAUCAUAUUUGCAGCUUUUCUCUCUAAUGUAAUUUGGAUUUGGUUUGCAUGCCCUAUAGCGUGUAAUAUUAAUAGUAAGCAAGGAUCAUAUUUGCAGCUUUUCUCUCUAAUGUUGUUUCUCUUACUGGAUCACAUAGGGAAUGGUUCAUAUUUUUCGAGUAGAAAGAUAGAAUUACUUCAACAUUGGAGUGCAUGGAUUUAGACCUGGCACUUUGUGAGGAUAUGCCACCUGUUCCCAUGGAUUCUAACACUUUGUGAGGAUAUGCCACCUGUUCCCAUGGAUUCUAGCAUGCUUGAGGAUAGAAAGUUGUAUGAGAAGUGGAAGCGGUCUAGCCGCUUAAGUCUUUACUCAUACAAAGCCAUAUCUCCAGAAAUAUUCAAGAAUCUAUUCCUGCUCUUAUAACUGCAAAGGAAUUUUUAAAUGUAGUUGAAGAGCAAUUUGUUAGCUCCGGCAAAAGUAUUGACAAGCAUCCUAAUGUCUAAACUCUCCUCCAUGAGGCAUGACGGCUCUAGUGGUAUGCACAAGAACAAAAUGGAGAUGAGAGACAUAGCAUCCCAAGUCAAAUCAUUAGAAGUUGACAUGUCCAAGUCGUUUAUUAUGCACUUUGUGCCUAACUAUUUUCCACCAGAAUAUGGACCAUUCAAAAUUCAUUGUAACACAAAAGGAAAAAUGGUCCAUCUAAAGGAGCGGAGAUUGAAGCAAGAGAGACCAGAAAGUGUCCAUUUGACCUCUCAUAAAGUGAAGGAGCAUGCAGAUAUGACAGCUAAGGUCAUGGCAUUCCUACUAAAAAGGACAUGAAGGUGCUAUAAUGAAUUUAUUUCUGAUAUUGCACAAGCUAUAAGUAAAGAUCCAAACUGAAAACCAGUCCUUUUUUUAAUGAAUAAUACCAACUGAAGUUAGUUGAUCCAUGCUUCCUGAAGGUAAUUAGUGCUCUAGGUGGAGGAUUCACCAUUUGUUCAUGGGGCCUUUUCUCUUUGCACUUCCAUAGGUGGAUUGCUGCUGACAUCUCCUAGACACCAGGCUAUAUUUUGUAAUCUAGGUCUGAAGAAAAAAUUGAUUAUGUACCAAACUGGACUUACAGAGAAAGCUUCCUGAAAAAUCAUUUAUCUGUACUAGGGUCUUUAGUAAUUUGUUACAUUUUUCUUGUGAGAGAUGAAAGUAGAACCAAUAGCAAGUAGCAAUUUGACACCUUUUUCCUUCAUCAAACUGUCUCUCUUAUGCUGCACACUUUCCAUAAACAAAUCCUUCAUAAGAUUGGAACGUUGAUCUACCUAUCUGACUCCAUCUUAUAUACCCACUUUCAGAGAAACAUCACAUCUACGUUCCGCAUUUUAAAGUUGUCUUUGUAAUGCCGUAAAUAAGAAGUCUGAAGCUCCUCCAUUCUAGUAUAGAAUUGAACAAUGUAACUCCAAAAAAGAUCUAGAGAUUAUGUAUCAAUUUUUUUCCUUUUAAGUGAUGUGCAAUUAAGCAUUAAUAUUUUCCAUAGUCACAAAAACAAUGGGAAUUUGACACUCAUAAUGAUUCAUUAAUUCAUUUUAUGAUUUCUUACUAUAAAAAUUGGAAGAGUUUCUUUGAAAAUGAACAAUUAGACAUUGCAAGUUUGAAUGAUAAAAGAUAUAGCUAAAAGUUGUAGAUUUUUCAGUUCCUUGAGUGUUUCAACAGUUGAAAUGUUCAGCAUUAUCUGUCUAUGCAGGAUGAUAUAACAGAAAAUUUAACAUUAAAUGUUGAAGUCAAGUAAUUCAAGCAAAUAUACAUAAGGCAUCAAAAGAAAAAGAAAAGAAAAGAAAAGAAAAACAACCUCAUCAUGAUAAUGUAAUUCUCUUUGGUACUCAUCUUCUGAUUUAUGCAUCUGAGCAUUGAUACACUCAAUCCUAUCCUUCAAAUCUUUAAGAGCAUCUUGCACAUCAAGAACUUGGUUGCAACUAUUAUAUUUGUCUGCUUAAAGGAUGAUGUAACAGAAUCAAAAAAGAGACCAGAAUUAGGAAUAAGGGAUUUUAUCAUAUAAUAUAACUACAGAUUUUAAAAGAGAAAUUACAUUGACCAAAUCACAGUGAGACACCAAUUAUCUGUUGAACUAUCUAUUAUUAUUCAACAAUCUGAAAAGAAUUUGCAGAUGGCAGCAUAAGUCACUGUAUUUCUCACAGAAACAAUCUGAAAGAGAUAUUUAAGGACUGGGGUACAUGAAAAGAACUACAUGGUUUAUAAAUUUUGGUUUAUAUAAAAUGCUUGGUAAUUUUGCCACAUAAGCAAGAGCAAAAUAUUCACCCUAAUAUUUCAAACUAAAAGAAAAAUUAAAGAAAGAAUGGACAUUAAGUAUGUAUUUCAAAUCUUUGACAGAGAGGAAAAACUAGGAAAAGCAAGAGCAUAAAAGCAAAACAAAUGUGCAAUUCCACAUACCCUAAAGGAGAAGAAAUUCAUGGUGUCACCAGCUCUAAUAAUGAUGCCACCCUUCAAUGGACUACUUCAUCAGGAAACUCCUUUUGAAAAUCAAAAAUAGUUAACAUAAUCUAUAUGUCAAAAAAAAUGAUGAUCUCUCAAUGAAACAGCCAUAAAUUGACUCUAUUAGAGUGCUCGCUUCCAGCCACCAUGUACACCCUCUAAGAGUAGUUCCCUGUAUCAGCAGCUCCACAUUAAUUUGAUCAUGGGACUGCCAACCAAGGUCAACUGGCUUAGGCAAGAGGAGACCGACACCUACACACACAGACAUACAGAGAGAGAGAGAGAGAAGAAAUGACAUGUUUCUUUCUUCAAGCAUCACCACAUUCUCCUUAAUCCAGGCUACGUUGCUCCACCCUAUGAGGUAGCCUCAACCAGGUAGAAUCAGAUGUAUUCACUAUUAUAAUUUCGAUUCCAAAUUCCUGAGAAAAGUUUGUCCAAGAUUCCAAGCAACAUGAGAGUCACAUUGUAGCUUGGGCUUGGAACCGAACCAAAACACAACACACAUGACCCACCACUGCUCUCUUCUCUCAUGCAUGCACCCCAGCCCCAUUUCCCCUUCACUCCCUUGCUCUUCUCCUCUUCUCUUCUCCACCCAAGCAUCACCACUGCCACCACCUCCUGUUCCGCCACUGUUCGGCAACCAUUCCUCCAACUUCCUCCCUCCUUUCCAUCUCUCUCCCUCUCACUCUCACUCUCUUCUUUCCUCUCUCUCUCUUGCUCACCCGCCCUUGCUCCUCCCUUCUCUUGUCUUUCAAUCUGCCCCUCUUUCCCCCUUCUUCCUCCUAUCUUUCACCAUUUUGUUCAUCUGUUUGAUGAGAUUCCAUCUCCACUCUCUUUCCCUCUUUAUUGCAGUUUUUUCCUCCUAAUCCAAUCAUAAUGGCAUGUUCUAUGUGUAGGGAGAGAUCAUCACCAUAUUGAGCAGGAAGAACAUGGAUUUGAGGCCCUAGUUUCUAGGUACAUGCCUGAUUAAGGUAAAUGCCAAACCCAUUACAUUUAAUUUGGUGGUAUGUUGUAGUUUUGCAGUUGAUUUAGGGAAAAACCUAGGUCUAGGUUUAUGUUGUCAGUCAUGUCCGACGAGUUUCCAGUGAUAUGGCCUACAUCGCUAAAAUUCACAUAUUCUAGAGAUUCCAAUAAGACCAACAUCAAAAUGGAGCUAUAUUUUGAUAAUUGUGGACAACUAUUAUUGUAAAGAAAGUCUAGAUCUAAAAUCGAUAGUGUCUAUCGGGAGCACCGAUCUGGCUAAAAAGCUAACUAUAAAUUAGCUCUCCUAUCUAUUUAAAAUAUUUUUCACCGAGUUUCAUAAUUUUUGGAGUUUCGUUUUAUUAGUUAUGAUUUUUUUGUCUUGCAUGAAAUUUUGGGGGUUAAUUGGAUGAAGGAAUAAUGUGGAUUUUGAUGAUGUAUUUAAAGUUAUAAAAGGGCUAUAGAGAUUAGGUUUUAUGGUAUAGGUUGUUUGUAACUGUUUGGUGUAGGAUACGAUUGUAUUCAAGUAAAAAGACUCUUGUUGGACUUAGCAAGUUUGGUAAGCAACCUCAACCUAUAUAUCCAAAUUAUAUUUUUAUAUUGUAUUGCAAACUUGAAAAUUAUAAAACACUGUUUUUGAUGAAUUGCAUGUUUUUGUACCAAAGGCAAGGAGUUUCGGACGACCAUCCAUAUCAUGCCAAGCUAAUACGGUGUCAGCACAAAGCAUUGGUUAGCACAGGAUGCAUGCCACCAUGAACACGCAUCAGUACCAAUGCUUUCUUGUCAGCAUGUGACAUGAAUGUCACGAUAUGGUACAGUAUUAGUUAGCUAUUGGCAAGGCACAAAUCCAAAAUUUCAACCUUUGUUCUUACCGAAUGUUCCUCGCAAGGUUCGCCAGAUCCUGUACCAGUGCCACACUAGCACAGUAACGGUACGGUAU